Molecule: long non-coding RNA, 1834 nt
Filed under: Sus scrofa (pig)
Lineage: Eukaryota; Metazoa; Chordata; Mammalia; Artiodactyla; Suidae
Description: lncRNA (ENSSSCG00025067434.1)
Source: RNAcentral
UUUGGCAGUUAAACAUGAUACACACGAGAAAUCCAGUUCUGCAUUUUAUUUUGUUCUUAAAAAAUUCUUUACUGAAGCUGUCGAAAUAACCCAGUAACUUAAGCAAAACUCAACUUCGCUCAAAGAUUUCUCCCAACUUUAAGGUUCUGUGAUGGUAGUUGUUCGUCUAAAUCAAAAACAAAAGUUGUUAAUGCUAAGAGUUCAAAAGUAUAGGCAAAGCCAAGAGACUAGGAAAAAAACUGUCAACACAUUCAGGAACUCAGAGGAUUAGCCAGUGUUUGUCCUCCCAAUGGGGUGCAGUGUGGACAUAAUCCAGUCCUUACCAGGGUAUACAAUGUGGCAGUAGGAAGCGACACAGAGUCUCAAAUUUAUAACAAAGUUGUAGCCCCUAAAUCUGUUAAAUGGUUGCGUAGAACUUAAAAACAACUUCUCCAGGAGUUCCCUUUGUGGCACAGCAGAAACAAACCUGACUAGUAUCCAUGAGGAUGUCGGUUUGAUCCCUGGCCUCACUCAGUGGGGAUUAAACUCGCAACCUCUGGAUACUAGUCGGAUUUAUUUUGCUGUGCCCCAACAGGAACUCCCUGGUGUUGGUGUUUUGCGGUUUUUUUUUUUUUUUUGGUCUUUUUAGGGCCACACCCUCAGCAUGUGGAGGUUCACAGGCUAGGGAUCCAAUCCAAGCUGUAGCCACCGGCCUACACCAGAGCCACAGCAAUGCAGGAUCCAAGCCACAUCUGCGACUUAUACCACAGCUUACGGCAAUGCCAUAUCCUUAACCCACUGAGCAAGGCCAGGGAUCGAACCCACAUGCUCAUGGAUACUAGUCCGGUUCGUUAAUCGCUGAGCCAUAACGAGAACUCCCUGCUGCUGGUGUUUUAAGCUAAUGUGGAAUAGGUUCUCAACUUCCAACUGAAAUAAACCUAGAACCUAGACCGUGUUGGACUGACCUGCUAGAUAUGUGUGAUGUGUCUCUAAGGCUAUCAGAAUAAAUAUGUCCAGAUCGUUCCACAAAGCGGGACUUAAGCAUGUCACAUGAUCCAUGAUUUGCACCCUCUAGUUUAUGGAGCUCAAUUGCACUGAACUUCCUUCCUCUAAAACAGCAUACUGUAUAGCUCAGUGGGACUUUUUACAGGAGGACAGUUUCAGUGGAGAUGGCCUGGGUAUCACAUUUCCCUUUCACAGAAAGUAAUGCUAACUGUAACAGUUUCCAGCCCUCUAGCCUAUACGGCACUCAGCAAACCUGGCGAUUUCAUUCACACAGUUAGCACACCAGCUGCUGCAGAAGAGCACGUGGGCGUUUGCAUUACAGCCAACAAGCAUCUGUGCUCCAGGAACCUGAAGAGCUGGGAAUCUGAGCCGGCCCUCACGUUCCACUUUACAGAGAAGCAGAGAUAUUUCACAGGGAUUUCAGCUCCCAUGUGCUUGAGGGUCUCCAGGUCCAGAGUGAGAGGCGCGUGGCUUUUAUACAAGCCGUCCUCCCCUUAGCCGAUGGCACUUGUGCUGGGAAUCACAGCAUAUGUAUCCUAAAAGGCCCUUAUUCCCAUAUAAGGAACUGGGUCCUCGAGGGGGAAUAAUUCAAUUUGGAGCAUCAUGCAGUCACCACACUAGUCCUCGCCCCACAACAAAGCUUGUCCAGGAUGCUAUAGAACACAAGUGGCAAUGCACUGCCAUAAGCUGGCUGCCCUAUAAAUCGGUUGCAUCCAAAACUGAGUAACAUCAGGAGGUCAUUUAGAAAUAUCUUGAAUUUUAUAAUAAUAAUAGGGUCAGAGGAGUCUCCGUCGUGGCUCAGGGGUUAACGAAUCCGACUAGGAACCAUGAGGUAGCGGGUUCUAUCCCU